CUCUUGUGGACAGUUGUCUCAUUGGCAAUCAUACCACAUCUUCUCUUUUAUAUUUGCUAAUUGUUGAAGUCUGUAUCUGCUACCUAUAUAUAGCUGUUAAUUGUUCUGUCAUUUGGUCUUUUGGUCCUUUGUGGAGAGUUGUCUCAUUGGCAAUCAUACCACAUCUUUUACUUUUGUACAUCUGCAUUUAAGGUAUGAAUAUACACCUGGUGUUCAGUGGUUUUAGUUUGUUGAUGUGGUCCAUAAGUGAUUCUCGUUUUUUUUUUUAAUAUAGAUUGGUUUUACACUAGUCAAAAGUGA
This 300-nucleotide long non-coding RNA is filed under the name Mytilus galloprovincialis (Mediterranean mussel). Lineage: Eukaryota; Metazoa; Mollusca; Bivalvia; Mytilida; Mytilidae. The record is from RNAcentral.